GGCGGUUCUCAGGUGACACCCUGGAAUUGGGCUCCCUCCUCUCUGGUUCCGGGUGCGUCACCUGAGAACCGCA
Non-coding RNA from Myotis brandtii (Brandt's bat), 73 nucleotides. The record is from Rfam. NCBI's taxonomy places the organism in Eukaryota, Metazoa, Chordata, Mammalia, Chiroptera, Vespertilionidae.